Molecule: ribosomal RNA, 611 nt
Filed under: uncultured bacterium
Lineage: Bacteria
Description: bacterial SSU rRNA
Rfam family: Bacterial small subunit ribosomal RNA
Source: RNAcentral
CCUACGGGAGGCAGCAGUGGGGAAUCUUGCGCAAUGGGCGAAAGCCUGACGCAGCCAUGCCGCGUGAAUGAUGAAGGUCUUAGGAUUGUAAAAUUCUUUCACCGGGGACGAUAAUGACGGUACCCGGAGAAGAAGCCCCGGCUAACUUCGUGCCAGCAGCCGCGGUAAUACGAAGGGGGCUAGCGUUGCUCGGAAUUACUGGGCGUAAAGGGAGCGUAGGCGGAUAGUUUAGUCAGAGGUGAAAGCCCAGGGCUCAACCUUGGAAUUGCCUUUGAUACUGGCUAUCUUGAGUACGGAAGAGGUAUGUGGAACUCCGAGUGUAGAGGUGAAAUUCGUAGAUAUUCGGAAGAACACCAGUGGCGAAGGCGACAUACUGGUCCGUUACUGACGCUGAGGCUCGAAAGCGUGGGGAGCAAACAGGAUUAGAUACCCUGGUAGUCCACGCUGUAAACGAUGAGUGCUAGUUGUCGGCAUGCAUGCAUGUCGGUGACGCAGCUAACGCAUUAAGCACUCCGCCUGGGGAGGUACGGGUCGCAAGAUUAAAAACUACAAAAGUUAGUUAAGUUAGGACGGCGUGAGAGCGACCGAGGACCACACGGAGGGGAAGGAGG